Molecule: long non-coding RNA, 1879 nt
Organism: Bactrocera oleae (olive fruit fly)
Lineage: Eukaryota; Metazoa; Arthropoda; Insecta; Diptera; Tephritidae
Source: RefSeq, a predicted model, not a curated record
GGCUCCUCUGUUGAUGUUAGAUAUUCCACCUCGCACUAUUACCCUACCUACGUUUCUUGUUAGCAGACACUUGCCGACUCCCAUCGACUUGCCUCCCCUUACAAGCGAUAGCCGCGCUUCUAUAGGGGAAUAUAUCCUACGUUCCACGUGGGAAAAUUCAUCACCCCAGGUAAUGACCCACCCGAUACACUACCCGGUCGUCGUACGCUCUCAUGAGGCACCAGCGUAACCCACAAUUACGACACCAACUUAAUGAUGACGGCAGAGGAAGGCCUGCAUAGCAUCAACGGGACGGAGGCAGUCUUGCCAGCCAUUUCUGCUACGUGUCACCACAGCACACUCAAGUGAUGAAAUACCUCGACCACCAGCCCAGCGUUCAACCAAAUCCAAUACUUAAAUCCUAUACAAAGUCUGUGUCGUUCAGUGGUCAAUGGUCUGUAAGAAGUCUUCCGCGCCGAGGCAGCCUGCCCUACAUCGCAAAGUACGGUCAGAAGUAAUAUCAUAUAUAGAAUAUCAAUAUAGAAAGUUUUCCUUAAUAUUAUAUAUUUAUAUCUAAUGAGGAUACAAUAAAAGUCACACUAAAGUCAAAAUGUAUUUAAGACUAAAAAUAUGUACAGAACAAAUUUGAACUUCCUGCAAUUUUGAAACUACUAGCUAUGUUUCUGUUCUCCCGCACAAAAGUGAGGUUAUCCAGAUUUUCCUUCUUACCAUCUAAGGCCAAAAUAGUUCUUCUUUAGAAAUAGCCUCAUAAAAUGAUACACAAUGCAGUACAUUCCAGCUAUACUUAAAAUGUAAUAACGUAUACAUUUUUUAUAAUAUUUUAUAAACGAGAUUUUUAGGAGCAUAUUACAACACUGAAAAACUAAUUAACUUAACUUCUUCUCACUGCCUACACAAUUUACGAGCAACAUGUUAACUGUCAAUUACCCUCUUGAAUUUUGCAACAAUGCAACUAAAGUAUAAAAGGCUUACAAAGUAAUUCUGCACAAGUGGAAAAUAAUCAACCGGCACUAAAUUUACAGGCAAUGCAAUCCAGAAGAACGAGACAAUAAACCAGUCAAGCAUUCAAAAAUCACUUGGGAAAAAUUAGCCAGGCAUAAUUACACAUUUAACACAUACACAUUUUUAUAUGUGCUUAUGAUUAAUAGUCGCGUAAUUAAAAAAAUUUGAGUAAAUAUGUACAUAUGUCGGUAGUCUGAUCGACUUCAAUGCCAAUGCCACGUUACGUAUACGCCAUGACAAACUUUUGCGAAUGUGAAACUUUAACAUUACACAAUUGAAUUGCACUAAUCAACAUUUUUAGAAACUUACUUCAGUUAUAUUUUCACCCGAAAAAUUAUGAAAAAAUGUACAACCGCUACGUAAACCCAACCGGCAGAUUGAUACUAACGCCUACAAGCAAUGUUUAUAGGUCGCCAGAGCAAAACGCGGGCAACGGGAACUCCGAUCAUAAUAGAGAGUAUUAAUGUUAAUAAAUAUUUUGAACCCCUGGAAAAGCUAAUGACAGUCAAGCCACAUACACUUUUAACUCCUACAAUAUAUAAAUGUAUAUAAAUGAAUUUGAAGACUAAACGGCGCAUGCGUUAAAAUGAGGCAUACAGCUGAUUACUGUACGGACCCAUUGGCAGCAGGAUGAGUAUCAAGUCGCAAAAAUAUUCUUAGAUGAAACGCAUAUGAGCUAAUCGACGUGGCAUUGCAUAUUAUUAUCAAAAAUUUGUAAAUCACAGCGAUUUCAAAACAACCGAAGUCGAUAAUUUUCGCACACAUGCGAUUGAAGACAAGCUCUCAAUACAUUAAAAAUAUAACUUUUUGCGAUUAAAAAAAUUGUAUUUAACAUUAGUUACACCAAUUUUUCACCACAAUAAAAACUGUGAUGGUA